This 200-nucleotide long non-coding RNA is filed under the name Trifolium pratense (red clover). RNAcentral describes it as "long non-coding RNA (TPRA_LNC010208)". Lineage: Eukaryota; Viridiplantae; Streptophyta; Magnoliopsida; Fabales; Fabaceae. The record is from RNAcentral.
AAGCAUGAGAAAGCUUAUACUAGAGAUGUAGUGUCUUCCUUUUAAGUGUAUGGUUGAUAUUUGUUCUUGGAAUGAGAAGAGAUGAAAUGGAAAGAUAGAGAAAAGGAAAGAAAGAAAGAAAAAACGUGGAACAGGGGAAGUAGAGAAAGUGAAAGAAGAAACUAGAAAUGUGGAGAAUUGAUGGGUGGGGUGGGGUUCAG